AAUAUCUCAACAAACACCAAAUCUGCUGGCACCAUGGUCUUGAGCUUCCCAGCCUUCAGACUGUGGGAAAUAAAUUUCUAUUAUUUAUAAAUCACCCAGUCUAAGGUAUUUCGUUACAGCUGCAAGAAUGGACAAAGACAGAAUAUAGUAGGCUAAAAGGAGAUCCAUUUAAAAAGCUUCUUCUCUGCUUGGAACAGUGUUAGUUGACUAAAUUUUUCAUCAUCCAUCAAGUUAUUUGACUGACAGAUAGCUGGCCAACAAGUUCUUUGAUUGAAGCUGCAGUCUUCAACAUGGUGCUGCAGACAGUGGUUCAUUCUACCCACGGGACUGUGGUCAGGACCCAGGAGGCACCAAACCUGGGAAAAGGUAGCUGGGAGAUGAGUUAAGGAGGGUAAGUUACUUAAUCAAGUAAUGUUGGCUGUUGCUCUUUCCAGAGAUUAAAGUUGUUCAAAUGGUUGCCACAGCAAAUUUAUGCAGAGAAUGGGGGCCAGCAGCUAAAACCCAAGCCUUCUGGACUCCACUGCAGCCUUUUCUUCAAACUCAGCUGGUCUCCCUGGGUUUUCUGAAGCUCAGAGGGACACCUUGUAUUGCUGGAUGAUAAAAACAGGAGCAAAGUGAUGAAAUGCUGACAAGGCAACAAUAGAACAUGAGAGAUUCACUGCUGUGUAGGAAGAGAUCUUCAGUGACCAUGUAGCCUGAAGCUCUCAUUUUGUCAUCGAGGGACACCAAAACUCAGAACAGGUGUUGUUCCUGAGCACUGGCUUCAAAAACCUUGCUGCUCAUUUAUCUUGUCUCACGGUGGUCUCCCAGGGAACCAACCAAAGAGGAGGAGGAGGAGAAUAGUGGUGGGGGUGGGUUGUUGACGUCUGACUUCAGAGAUUUUUUCUUUCAUCACACAAUAAAAUUAAUAAAAUAAAAAGACAAGGAUUCGGGAUGCCCUCGGAGUUCAUCCAUCAUAUUUUCAAAAGGAAAUUUCAAGCCAGCAAUCUUCCCAUCAGCUUCCAGGAGUAUUUUCUAGAAUAGUUGAAGGGUGGUUUUGCCUAAAACCUGGGGGUUGGCAUAGGUGGCCUUUCAAGGAGGCUUCUAGCUUCAAGUUUCUGUCAAUUAUGCUUUGCAUAUCUAAGAGCUGUUUGGGCUGGAGAAUUCAAAGAAAUUUUCAAUGUGCCAGGGUUGAGAUUCAGCGUCUUUUUGCUGAGUGGGCAUUGAUGAGAAAUGCCUCUGAACUCGCAGGGGUGAUGCAGCCCCCUGGCCAGCCUGCCAACUCUACAUACUCUCAUUGCUCCAACG
This 1287-nucleotide long non-coding RNA is filed under the name Pan troglodytes (chimpanzee). RNAcentral's name for it is "long non-coding RNA NONPTRT001162". The record is from RNAcentral. Lineage: Eukaryota; Metazoa; Chordata; Mammalia; Primates; Hominidae.